Molecule: unclassified non-coding RNA, 427 nt
Filed under: Hevea brasiliensis (rubber tree)
Lineage: Eukaryota; Viridiplantae; Streptophyta; Magnoliopsida; Malpighiales; Euphorbiaceae
Source: RNAcentral
CAUUAAAAAAGUAUUCUUCUUUAUCUCUACCCCUACUUUCGCCUUCCCCCUUUUUUUUCUCUUUUUUUCCUAUUCCCUCUUCUUCCUUGUAAAUUUUGAAACAUCCAAUUUAAAAUCUAAAUCAACAUCCUUGAGCAGGCAUACCUUAGGUAUUUUCUAGCAAUNAUGAAUCUUAGGUAUUUUCUAGCAAUAAAGGAUAUGGAUUAUAAUAGCCAGUACUGUCCCUUGUGUACUGUCUUCACACACUGUAAAGUCAACACCACCGCCAUUUUCUAUUAUAAUUGUCCUGCAGUUAAGAGGGGGAGAUUGCUUUGUAGCCUUCUUUUUCAAGAACCUUUGCAAUAGAGAUAUCCCCCGUCUUUACAAUUCUCCCAUCCUCCAUGAUAUGGAUAUAUGUAGGCUGAAUGAAUUCCAAAAGUCGUAGAUA